CAACGUUCUCAGGGCAGGGUGAAAGUCCCUACCGGCGGUGAAGGCGUCUGACGCACGAGCCCGCGAGCGCCCGGCAUGGCCACAUGCCGGGGUCAGCAGAUUCGGUUCAAAUCCGAAGCCGACGGUGAUAGUCCGGAUGAAAGAGAGCGAGC
Molecule: non-coding RNA, 152 nt
Filed under: Cupriavidus oxalaticus
Lineage: Bacteria; Pseudomonadati; Pseudomonadota; Betaproteobacteria; Burkholderiales; Burkholderiaceae
Description: FMN
Rfam family: FMN riboswitch aptamer (RFN element)
About the family: The RFN element is a highly conserved domain that is found frequently in the 5'-untranslated regions of prokaryotic mRNAs that encode for flavin mononucleotide (FMN) biosynthesis and transport proteins. This element is a metabolite-dependent riboswitch that directly binds FMN in the absence of proteins.
Source: RNAcentral